Non-coding RNA from Pelobates cultripes (western spadefoot toad), 698 nucleotides. NCBI's taxonomy places the organism in Eukaryota, Metazoa, Chordata, Amphibia, Anura, Pelobatidae. The record is from the annotation of a GenBank genome assembly.
GUGCUUUUCCUAUUCGUCUGCUAGCAGCUAUUCGUAUGGUUCCAGUUCGGGAGUUUGGAGUGCUAUUUUGUAUGCAGUUCGGGAGUUUGGAGCAUUCCCUUACAUGCGGUUCGGGAGUUUGGUGUUCUGCAGUAGCUGUGCCUGUAUCUCUGGAAGGGGAAGAUCUCCUAAACGGCAGUUUAACCCAUUUAUGCCUGGGGGUGCCAUUACAGGGUUUACAGGAUAUUUCCUGCCCAUUCCAUGCUCCCACACCUCUAUGCAUACCGCACAGUUUUUUUCAUGGUAGAUGAGGGCUAAUGUAAAGUGGGAGGCUGUCUUGUGGACGCUGGCACAGAAUUCUAACAUGCACCAGAAGCAGAGAGUAGCUUUCGCUACACUAUUUGAACAGUCAUGUACAACAAUAUCCCUGAAACAACAUCACAAGGAAAAAUGUAUGUAAAAGUAAAUCAUCGGUGGCCAUGGACAUAAGGCAAGCAAGUAAAAAAACAGAAACGUUUCACUCCCAAAGUGACUUGCUUUUCCCACAGAAAUCUCAAAUUUGCAGUGUUAUGUUACUACUGCAAGGGAUUCUGGGUAGGCAUAUGCAAAUUAGUUCAACAAAGAGAGAGAGAGAUCUUAUGGUACAUAUAUCACAUAUAUGAACUAAGGUACUACAUACAUAUAAACACUACAUAAUAUUUUUAUUGCUUUGAUUAAGG